This 497-nucleotide ribosomal RNA is filed under the name uncultured bacterium. RNAcentral's name for it is "partial 16S ribosomal RNA". It matches the Rfam family "Bacterial small subunit ribosomal RNA", at positions 28 to 507 of the family's 1533-position model. The record is from RNAcentral.
GAUGAACGCUGGCGGCGUGCCUAAUACAUGCAAGUCGAGCGAACAGACGAGGAGCUUGCUCCUCUGACGUUAGCGGCGGACGGGUGAGUAACACGUGGAUAACCUACCUAUAAGACUGGGAUAACUUCGGGAAACCGGAGCUAAUACCGGAUAAUAUAUUGAACCGCAUGGUUCAAUAGUGAAAGACGGUUUUGCUGUCACUUAUAGAUGGAUCCGCGCCGCAUUAGCUAGUUGGUAAGGUAACGGCUUACCAAGGCAACGAUGCGUAGCCGACCUGAGAGAGUGGUCGGCGACACUGGAGGUGAGACACGGUCCAUACUCCUACGGGAGGCAGCAGUAGGGUAUCUUCCGCAAUGGGCGAAAGCCUGACGGAGCAACGCCGCGUGAGUGAUGAAGGUCUUCGGAUCGUAAAACUCUGUUAUUAGGGAAGAACAAAUGUGUAAGUAACUAUGGACGUCUUGACGGUACCUGAUCAGAAAGCCACGGCUAACUACGUG